RNAcentral lists this ribosomal RNA (462 nucleotides) under uncultured bacterium. RNAcentral describes it as "partial 16S ribosomal RNA". It matches the Rfam family "Bacterial small subunit ribosomal RNA", at positions 28 to 507 of the family's 1533-position model. The record is from RNAcentral.
GAUGAACGCUGACAGAAUGCUUAACACAUGCAAGUCAUUGGCGAAGCUGCGCUUGCGCAGUCUAGCCAAGGCGGACGGGUGAGUAACGCGUAAGGAACUUGCCCUGCAGACAGGGAUAACAGACGGAAACGACUGAUAACACCUGGUAUUGUCAGGUUGGCGCAUGCCGGCCUGAUGAAAGGAGACGCUGCAGGAGAGCCUUGCGUCCUAUUAGCUAGUUGGUGGGGUAACGGCCCACCAAGGCGAUGAUAGGUAGCCGGCCUGAGAGGGUGAACGGCCACAAGGGGACUGAGAUACGGCCCUUACGCCUACGGGAGGCAGCAGUGGGGAAUAUUGGACAAUGGGGGCAACCCUGAUCCAGCAAUUCUGUGUGCACGAAGAAGGUUUUCGGAUUGUAAAGUGCUUUCAGCAGGGAAGAAGAAAGUGACGGUACCUGCAGAAGAAGCGACGGCUAAAUACGUG